GAAGAACGCGGGCGGCGUGCUUAACACAUGCAAGUCGAACGGAAAGGCCCUGCUUUUGUGGGGUGCUCGAGUGGCGAACGGGUGAGUAACACGUGAGUAACCUGCCCUUGACUUUGGGAUAACUUCAGGAAACUGGGGCUAAUACCGGAUAGGAGCUCCUGCUGCAUGGUGGGGGUUGGAAAGUUUCGGCGGUUGGGGAUGGACUCGCGGCUUAUCAGCUUGUUGGUGGGGUAGUGGCUUACCAAGGCUUUGACGGGUAGCCGGCCUGAGAGGGUGACCGGCCACAUUGGGACUGAGAUACGGCCCAGACUCCUACGGGAGGCAGCAGUGGGGAAUAUUGCACAAUGGGCGGAAGCCUGAUGCAGCAACGCCGCGUGCGGGAUGACGGCCUUCGGGUUGUAAACCGCUUUCGCCUGUGACGAAGCGUGAGUGACGGUAAUGGGUAAAGAAGCACCGGCUAACUACGUA
RNAcentral lists this ribosomal RNA (468 nucleotides) under uncultured bacterium. RNAcentral describes it as "partial 16S ribosomal RNA". It matches the Rfam family "Bacterial small subunit ribosomal RNA", at positions 28 to 507 of the family's 1533-position model. The record is from RNAcentral.